CGCUCUCUGUAAAUUUAUUUUAUAUUUAAUUUGGCAAGCAUGGAGAGUCGGACCUGCCCAGUGACAAUUGCUUGUUAAACGGCCGCGGUACUCUGACCGUGCAAAGGUAGCAUAAUCAUUUGCCUUUUAAUUGAAGGCUUGUAUGAAUGGUUUGACGAAGGCUAAGCUGUCUCUUUUUAAGUAUAAAAAAAUUAACUUCUAGGUGAAGAGGCUUAGAUUUAGUUGAGGGACAAGAAGACCCCGUUGAGCUUUAGUAAUUUAGUAAAAUUAAAAUGGUCGAUAAGUGUAUAAGAUCGUAGACUUAUUUGUGGUGAUGUGCUCUGCAUGCAGAAGCUUUAUUUACUAAAAAUCUUUAGUUGGGGCGACUGAGGAACAUAAAAAGCUUCCUUUUAGUGCUGUAAAUUUAGGUAGUCAGACUUAGGCGGAUAGAUCCAGUAUCUACUGAUUAAAGGAAAAAGUUACCACGGGGAUAACAGCGUAAUCUUUCUGGAGAGUUCUUAUCGAAAGAAGGGUUUGCGACCUCGAUGUUGGACUAAGAUAUCCCAAGGGUGUAGAAGCUUUUGAUGGUUAGUCUGUUCGACUAUUGAAAUCUU
Molecule: ribosomal RNA, 593 nt
Filed under: Lithopoma phoebium
Lineage: Eukaryota; Metazoa; Mollusca; Gastropoda; Trochida; Turbinidae
Description: partial 16S ribosomal RNA
Rfam family: Bacterial large subunit ribosomal RNA
Source: RNAcentral